AUUGUGUUGCCCCCAUACAUGUAUUCGGGGCGAAGCUUGGCCUCCCGUGAGCCCAAACUCGCGGAUGGCUUAAAAACGAGCCUCGAGACGGUUAGACGUCGCGACAAGUGGUGGUUACGAGGCCUUUGUGCCUUUGAGCUUUGCGUGUCGCUGCCGUCGUCUGUCUCUCUCGAAAUUAAAACCCGAACGGAGCAUCCUCGAUGUUUCCAGCAUUGCGACCCCAGGUCAGGCGGGAAUACCCGCUGAGUUUAAGCAUAUCAAUAA
This 264-nucleotide unclassified non-coding RNA is filed under the name Rhodiola chrysanthemifolia. RNAcentral describes it as "partial internal trancribed spacer 2". The record is from RNAcentral. Lineage: Eukaryota; Viridiplantae; Streptophyta; Magnoliopsida; Saxifragales; Crassulaceae.